Molecule: long non-coding RNA, 209 nt
Filed under: Ananas comosus (pineapple)
Lineage: Eukaryota; Viridiplantae; Streptophyta; Magnoliopsida; Poales; Bromeliaceae
Description: long non-coding RNA (ACOM_LNC043661)
Source: RNAcentral
AGUAUACGGCUAUGAAGCCGUAGUGCCAACUGAGAUAACAGUUCCUUCUCUAAGGGUGGAAAAACAAAAAAAAAAUUUGACGGCAGAUGAAUAUAAGUUGCUAAUGAAUGAAAGAACAGAAGAAAUGAAUGAAACUCGGCUGAUAGCAUUUGACGAUGUACGAGCGUAUCAGAGCCGAGUACGUAGAGUAUAUAAUAAAAGAGUUAAAG